UGAAACCGUCAAAGAAAGAAUUUGAUUCUCUAUCCGUUAUCAGAGAAGAACAGAAAUAAACCCUUGCAUCUACUAAAACCCUGUAAACCAAAUAAAUUUAUUCUCCUCACAGAUCUUUUCGAAGUCGUCUUCUUCAUCUUCAGAGUGAAUAAUUUAUCUUCAACGGGUCGGGUGGUGAUGUUGAUAUUAUUGGAAGGGAUCCUGGUGAUUAAAGCCCUGCGCACACCAAAUCAAAAAUGCAUUUCCAUAUGGAGGGGCGAAGCCCGCGCUCACCAGGUUAGAAGUAAAAAGAAAAUGCCCGGUACGUAGAACGGGCAGUUAACAAUUUUGUAUAUAUAAUUUGAGUCCAAUUUAGAGCGCUGUGGUCGAAAGCUGAACAAAGCUUGAAUUCUAAUGCUUCUGGUCCCACUUGAUAGAAUAUAGACCAACAGCAAUCUUGGGUUUUGAGAUCUUUUCGGUGUUU
Papaver somniferum (opium poppy) is the source of this 463-nucleotide long non-coding RNA. RefSeq lists it as uncharacterized. Lineage: Eukaryota; Viridiplantae; Streptophyta; Magnoliopsida; Ranunculales; Papaveraceae. The record is from RefSeq and is a predicted model, not a curated record. The transcript has 3 exons.